This 252-nucleotide ribosomal RNA is filed under the name Wolffia brasiliensis. RNAcentral describes it as "partial 26S ribosomal RNA". It matches the Rfam family "Eukaryotic large subunit ribosomal RNA", at positions 1 to 257 of the family's 3401-position model. The record is from RNAcentral. Lineage: Eukaryota; Viridiplantae; Streptophyta; Magnoliopsida; Alismatales; Araceae.
CUCGGACCGCGAACACAGGUCAGGCAGGACCACCCGCCGAGUUUAAGCAUAUGAAUAAGAGGAGGAGACAAAACUUAUGAGGAUUCCCCUAGUAAUGGUGAGCGAACCGAGAAGUGCCCAGCUUGAGAAUCGGACAGCGGCGUCGCCAGAAUUGUGGUCUAUAAAGGCAGACCGGGCGCAAGUCCCCUGGAAGGGGGCGCUGGAUAGGGUGAGAGCCUAGUCACGCCCGGACCUUGGCGCAUCACAAGGCGC